This 119-nucleotide ribosomal RNA is filed under the name Triticum aestivum (bread wheat). Lineage: Eukaryota; Viridiplantae; Streptophyta; Magnoliopsida; Poales; Poaceae. The record is from RNAcentral.
GGAUGUGAUCAUACCAGCACUAAAGCAUCGGAUCCCAUCAGAACUCCGAAGUUAAGCGUGCUUGGGCGAGAGUAGUACUAGGAUGGGUGACCUCUUGGGAAGUCCUCGUGUUGCUUUCC